Molecule: ribosomal RNA, 406 nt
Filed under: uncultured bacterium
Lineage: Bacteria
Description: partial 16S ribosomal RNA
Rfam family: Bacterial small subunit ribosomal RNA
Source: RNAcentral
AUUGAACGCUGGCGGCAGGCCUAACACAUGCAAGUCGAGCGAGCGGCGGACGCGUGUGUAAUGUCUGGGAGAAAGCGCGAUGGAGGGGGAUAACUCCAGGAAACGGUAGAUAAUACACCGUAUCCUCAGAGGUGUGCCCAGGGGAUUUGCUAGUGGGUGGGGUAACGGCUCACCGAGGCGACGAUCCCCAGCUGGUCUGAGAGGAGGACCAGCCACACUGGAACUGAGACACGGGCCAGACUCCUACGGGAGGCAGCAGUGGGGAAUAUUGCACAAUGGGCGCAAGCCUGAUGCAGCCAUGCCGCGUGUGUGAAGAAGGCCUUCGGGUUGUAAAGCACUUUCAGCGGGGAGGCGUUACUCGCAGAAGAAGCACCGGCUAACUCCGUGCCAGCAGCCGCGGUAAUAC